This 73-nucleotide transfer RNA is filed under the name Neotoma lepida (desert woodrat). It matches the Rfam family "tRNA". From Rfam's summary of the family: Transfer RNA (tRNA) molecules are approximately 80 nucleotides in length. Lineage: Eukaryota; Metazoa; Chordata; Mammalia; Rodentia; Cricetidae. The record is from Rfam by way of RNAcentral.
GCCAAGCUAGCUCAAUUUGUAGAGCAUGAGACUCUUAAUCACAGGGUCGUGGGUUCAUGCCCCACAUUGGGUG